Apis mellifera (honey bee) is the source of this 1771-nucleotide long non-coding RNA. RefSeq lists it as uncharacterized. The transcript is spliced from 4 exons. NCBI's taxonomy places the organism in Eukaryota, Metazoa, Arthropoda, Insecta, Hymenoptera, Apidae. The record is from RefSeq and is a predicted model, not a curated record.
UAUCAUAGUGUGGCCAAGUCGGGUAAUAAUUUCCAUCAAUGCUUCCGGAUCUUCUUCAUCGAACUGACUCCAAUAUCCUUGUUGACUAUACGAAACGAAAAUGAAUAAUAUCACUUUUAACGAGAGUAUAUUUCGAUUAAAAUGAAAAUCUCGUUACUUAACGUCGUUUUAACUAUCAAAUUUACAACUUGUUGUCAUUUUAUAUAUACAUAAUAUUAAUAGAAUGGAAAGAUGUAACAACAACGUUUCUCGUCUCUUUAAUUUUAGAUACAGUGGAAUCGUUUUCUCUCAUUAAACGAUGUCUCAUUAAAUGGAACUAGGUUAAAUUUCUGACAUUGCCAGAUGGAUCUCCCGUUCACUUUAAAAAUCGAAAGAUCGGAAAAGACUUACGGUGCAGCAUUCGUGGAAAGAUUGGACGACACAAAAAGACCCACAACCAUUAAUAGCACGUAGAACGAUAUGAUUCCUUGCUGCAUCUUCGAUGUAUCUUUUAAACCUGGAAUUCAAAAAGAAAGAAGAAAGAAGAAUGAAAGUUGAAAAAAAGGAAGGCAAUGUUUAUACCACUUUUCUUUUCUCGCACUAUCUCGAAAGAAAAUGGACGCAUUCAGUGGGUAAAGCGACUAACAAACUAUUCAACCGACAAUCUAGGAAGGAAAGACCGAUCGUGGCCAACUUUUCGAGUAGAUUCCUCCGUUGUAUUGUUUCGAUACAUGUAUAUGCGACACGUUUAUUCGAAAGUAUACAUAAGGAAAUUCGAUCUUUAUGGAAAUGAAGAUCUGGAAGUUGGUAAUACACGUCUCAGAUUAUAACGACUCCUUUCCAUUUCUGAUAGUAUCGAUGUACGUGCAAUUAGUAUUUUAUUGGAAGGCAAUCACGAGUCGCUUUGAGCGUGCCGAAUGGCCGUAACACGGGAUAAUUGGAUUCAGCGCUUCCGAUAAUUGAUGUUGACGAUACGUUUUCACGCGUGUACUUACAUUCGUUAAGAACGAUUCAAUAUAUUUGGAUAUAUAUAUAUAUACAUACGAAAAUGUAUAAAUCUUUGAAAGAAUUACGAAAGAUGUUUUUAAAAAAAGAAAAGAAAGAGAAGAUGAGAAUUAAAUGUACUUAUUUGCCAGGAAGAAGGUGAAGAGAAGUAAAGAAUAUCUAUUGAAAAAAAAUUUUAUCACAUUGUACGGAUAAAAGAUUCGAUUAAUUGUUUAGUUUAUACAACAGUGAUCUAAUCUUUUGUUUCUUAUUUUUUUUUUUUAUCGUAUUUCGUAUUUUUCCUACUUGGUGAUUCCGUUUCCCCGUUCUUCGUACUCCACAUUCCGUAUCUCGUUUUCCGUUUUCCGUUUUCCGUUUUCCGCUUUCCGCUUUCCAUCCGAUGACUGAGCAACACUAUAUUCGCAACAAGGUGAAUCGCGGUUCGAUCGAGCAUGAAAAUUCAAGAAAUUGAAGACCAGCUGCGCGUUUCUCCACGAUUCUGAUUCCCUUAUCGGUUCGAUUAUGAUUUACGAAUUACGAGUGGUAAUUGGGAACGAUAAAGAGUUUAGUAUUUUUUUCCCCCUUCGACGUGAUUAAUAAUCGUUUCUUACGGACGAGGGAGACACAAGAAGAAUUUUUCGAAAGGAAAUGCGACAACGAACCCAAUUACUUGUCUAGAAACAAAUGUAACGAACGUGCUGCGAAUUAUUUUCAUAAUAUCACGAAUAUCGAAAGAAUUAUAUUUUAAAAACCGAAUCAAUGAAAUAAUCACCGAUCACUAAUUAUAAUAUUCUUUUUUUCAUAAAUA